Molecule: ribosomal RNA, 446 nt
Filed under: uncultured bacterium
Lineage: Bacteria
Description: SSU rRNA
Rfam family: Bacterial small subunit ribosomal RNA
Source: RNAcentral
AGAACGAAUGCUGGCGGCAUGCCUAACACAUGCAAGUCGAACGAGACCUUCGGGUCUAGUGGCGCACGGGUGCGUAACGCGUGGGAAUCUGCCCCUCGGUUCGGAAUAACAGUUAGAAAUGACUGCUAAUACCGGAUGAUGACGAAAGUCCAAAGAUUUAUCGCCGAGGGAUGAGCCCGCGUAGGAUUAGCUUGUUGGUGGGGUAAUGGCCCACCAAGGCGACGAUCCUUAGCUGGUCUGAGAGGAUGAUCAGCCACACUGGGACUGAGACACGGCCCAGACUCCUACGGGAGGCAGCAGUGGGGAAUAUUGGACAAUGGGCGAAAGCCUGAUCCAGCAAUGCCGCGUGAGUGAUGAAGGCCUUAGGGUUGUAAAGCUCUUUUACCAGGGAUGAUAAUGACAGUACCUGGAGAAUAAGCUCCGGCUAACUCCGUGCCAGCAGCCGC